AGCAGACGCUCUUAUCCAGAGCGACUUACAGUUGACUUACAGUCAUCUUCAGAUAGCUAUGUGAGACAGCCACAUAUCACAGUUGUAGUAAGUACAUUUUUCCUGUAUAUAGAAGUCAUCAUAAAAGUCAGUGCUAGUAGGAAAAGACAAGUGCAAGGGGGAACAAGACUGAGAUACUCUUUGAAGAGUCGGUCAUGGCGGGGGCCUUCAUGGACUCGCCCAAUGAUGACGACAGCACGGACCACUCACUUUUCAACUCCUCGGCCAGCGUCCAUGCCGCCUCUAUGGCGGCCCAUGACCAGCCGGAGCGGGAGCCCAUGUCCCGCGACGCCAUCUGGCUUUGGAUUGCAAUCACCGCCACCAUAGGGAACAUUGUGGUCGUGGGAGUGGUGUACGCUUUCACUUUCUGAGUGGUGGAAGCCAUGAUGGAGACAUGCCAGCAGGAGGAAGCUUCUGGACAAGACAUUUGGACAUGAGCUAGGAACACCACAGCAGCCAACGGCCACUCUCAAAGUCUACACUGUUACAGAGCAGUGAAUGAUUCUUGCAUUGGCAUCUUGUCCAAGCAUUUGAAAGACAAGGCAUUGUUCACAAUUACAGAAAUUAAUAUGUGUAAUAUGUUGGUCAUGUUACUGCAGCCAAAGGUCAAAAUAUGGAAUAUUGUAUACAUUAGUGCUGUUGACUAUACAUUAAGAUGUUAACAUUUCUGAUGAAGCUUUAAAUAGUGAACAGUGAUGUACUCUGAAUACCCUCAGAUGUGAUUGGUAAAUUCUGAAAUCAUUGGACGUAAAAUAUUCAGAUAAUAAAACCUUAGUAAUGUGCCGUUUGGAGCGUUUAGAGAUCAUUGAAUGGAAAGUAACACCGGUAAGUUUUUAACAUGUCUUUAACAUCACAGUCGUUACUGUAUUCUACAUAUAUCUGCCCAAAAUAUGGAGUUUAUGACAAACAUACUAGACACAGAAUGUCCAAAGAUCUUUACUGUCUGCAUGACAAUAUAGUUCCACCUGACAGCAUCAGUUUUGGAUCAAGUUAAUCUAGUUCUCCGCUUUUCUCCUCUUUUUUGCCUAAGUGAGCCUUGAGUGCUGAAUAGACAAUAUUUUCCCAGCAUAUUUAUAUCUAAGAUGGUAGGGGUAACCUAAAUCUAUUUCUCUUAAACACUCCUAUCAGACCUCAAACCCAUAUGAGCGGGAACUACAAUUUAUAGGAAUGGAUGUUCACCUUGAACACUUUUCACAGAUGUUUACAUGUGGAAACAACAUUCCUCACACUUAGAAGUCACUUGGAUUCAAGUCUAGUGUACAUACAUCUUGAUGUGACUGCUGUAACCAUUUCAAUGUCGGUCUUGAUGUAUAUUUUGAUCGAGUAUUAUCUUUCUUCCUCUUUAUAGUCUCAAACACAUUGUAACCCAAACUGCCUUCCAAGCCAAAUAGUUUUAAUGAGCCCUGGAUGCGACAAUAGUCAGUUGCCAUAGCGAUGCAUCUCUGUCGCUAUGUGCCUCAAAGAUACCAUGUCUCUCGUUCCCAGUGCAGCACACCUGUUUAUCUCUCUCUAAACUCCCUAGCACAUCUACCUAACAGACACACACACACACACACACACACACACACACACACACACACACACACACACACACACACACACACACACACACAGGCUCUUUACAUGUGGACAUCGAUCACAUCAUACAUUAGCUGAUACUCUAUAACAUUAAGAGUCAACUUAGAUACCAUAAGUUGAAUGAUACUCUACACAUAUGAGCUUUAGAGCUCAAAUUGUUUUCUACUGCUGGUUGCCCUUAGAUACCAUAAGCAUUUCAUAUAGUAGAGCAGGACUCUCCAACCCUGUUCCUGGAGAGCUACCCUCCUGUAGGUGUUCUCUCCAACCCUGUUCCGGGAGAGCUACGCUUCUGAAGGUGUUCUCUCCAACCCUGUUCCUGGAAAGCUACCCUCCUCUAGGUGUUCUCUCCAACCCUGUUCCUGGAGAGCUACCCUCCUCUAGGUGUUCUCUCCAACCCUGUUCCUGGAGAGCUACCCUCCUCUAGGUGUUCUCUCCAACCCUGUUCCUGGAGAGCUACCCUCCUCUAGGUGUUCUCUCCAACCCUGUUCCUGGAGAGCUACCCUCCUCUAGGUGUUCUCUCCAACACUGUUCCUGGAGAGCUACCCUCCUCUAGGUGUUCUCUCCAACCUUGUUCCUGGAGAGCUACCCUCCUCUAGGUGUUCUCUCCAACCUUGUUCCUGGAGAGCUAUCCUCCUCUAGGUUUUCAUUCCAACCCUAAUACAGCACACCUGAUUCAAAUAAUUAGCUGGUUGAUGAGCAGAAUCCGGUCAGUUACAACUGGGGUUGCAGCAAAACUACUGGAGGGUAGCUCUCCAGGAACAGGGUUGGAGAGAACACCUACAGGAGAGUUGCUCUCCAGGAACAGGGUUGGAGAGAACACCUACAGGAGAGUAGUUCUCCAGGAACAGGAUUGGAGAGAACACCUACAGGAGAGUAGCUCUCCAGGAACAGGGUUGGAGAGAACACCUACAGGAGAGUAGCUCUCCAGGAACAGGAUUGGAGAGAACACCUACAGGAGAGUAGCUCUCCAGGAACAGGAUUGGAGAGAACACCUACAGGAGAGUAGCUCUCCAGGAACAGGAUUGGAGAGAACACCUACAGGAGAGUAGCUCUCCAGGAACAGGAUUGGAGAGAACACCUACAGGAGAGUAGCUCUCCAGGAACAGGAUUGGAGAGAACACCUACAGGAGAGUAGCUCUCCAGGAACAGGAUUGGAAAGCCCUGCUCUUCACAUAUUGUGUUUACCCCGGAGAGCCAGAAUAGUUGUCUACUGCUUUUACUGUGUGCCCUUGGUGCACAUUGGUGUCAGCGGUGGGAUUCAGAGAAAGUUACCAGACAGAGGGCAUCCACACCUCCAAACCCCAAAGUCACUCUCUAAAUUGCAGCAGGCAGACACUAAGCUCCCCUUUAAGUGUAGUGUUGAGACUGGGAGGCUACAUCUCUGAUGUGUCUCUGCCUCAUCGUAGAGCAGACCCCAGGAGGUCAAACACAACAUUAAUACAGUCACAGUUUGUGAAUAGUCAAAGUCUGCUUUUCAAAUGGCACCCUAUUCCCCAAAUAACACACUGUGGGCCCUGGUCAAAAGUAGUGCACUAUGUAGGGAAUAGGGCACCAUUUGGGAUGCUGACAUUUGUUUGACUGUGACGGCAGGGACGGUCACCGCGUGAUGUAGUCCUGGGAUAGGGGAUACAAUGUCCUUUUGAUUAUAAUGGAUGAGACCUUCAUAUGGUUUGGUGUGAUAAGUUGGUCCGUUAUUAACCUUGAUUAAUCAAUCAUUAACGGAGAGAUGGAUGACUUGUUGAAGCGGUCUUAAUGAUAUGCUGAUUAAGAAAUCUCUCUUUUUCUGGAGAAGUAUGAUUUUUUUUAAUGAGAUUGAGCUCAAUUAAAAAAUAUAUAAUUUAAUUUGGGCGUAGAUGGAUUUGAUGUGAAAUCAGAUAUUAACCCCAUUCUAGAUUAUCCAUAUAAAAUUGUCCAAACAGCAAACUAUUUCAAGACAAUAACUCAGAAGACGUAUACAUGGAUGUUUGAGUACGCUCUGCAUACUCUGAGCAGUUGAUUAUGACUUUGUUCCAGUUCGUUAACUAAGUAUUCAAGGUCUUACUGAAAAUACCAUUUGUAAAGAUAGAUGGUGUGAUAAUCCACACUGUUCUUCACUUGCAGUGUAACUAUGGUCUUUUGUAUCAGUUAUUAUGUAUGUACUAUUAAAAUGUAGUUUGGUAAAUGUCAUCAAUAAAUGUCAUGUGGCUGGGUGUGAUCAUUCACAGAAACACAGAAUCAUCCUUGAGGAUACAUUUUAUUUGAUCUAAUGUUAUUUCAUUAAAGUUGUCUAAAAAUAAUUCAAGUAUAUGUCACAGGAGUCAUUAAGCAUGUUCUCAUGUUCUUCUGUCAUUCUCAAUAUCAUCCUCACAUGCAAUAAUUAUUAUGUUCAGAGAUAAUAAUCUGAAUGGCAUUAACCAGUGUGAGAUGAUUGAUGAGUGUUUCAAUAUCCAAGCAGUUUCUCAACCUCAAUCGAUCACAGAAAUGCUGCAUUAUGUUUCAUAUGAAGCUCUACUGGUUGGUAUUGAAACGCUGAUGUUUCAGAUUACUUUUAUCAUGCCAGUGGCCUACAGAAUGC
RNAcentral lists this long non-coding RNA (4171 nucleotides) under Salmo salar (Atlantic salmon). RNAcentral describes it as "lncRNA (ENSSSAG00000088777.1)". Lineage: Eukaryota; Metazoa; Chordata; Actinopteri; Salmoniformes; Salmonidae. The record is from RNAcentral.